Gallus gallus (chicken) is the source of this 672-nucleotide long non-coding RNA. RefSeq lists it as uncharacterized. Lineage: Eukaryota; Metazoa; Chordata; Aves; Galliformes; Phasianidae. The transcript has 5 exons. The record is from RefSeq and is a predicted model, not a curated record.
CAUGCAGUGACGUGGAUGGACUGUGAACUUUAUAACACACAGUUUGCUCCACAUUUCAGUGGCAGCUCUGAUGCAAUGCAAAGGUCAGAGGGCAAGACACACAUUGUAUGCAAACAGGAAAAUAAUUUCUUCUGGGAUCUGCUAAUAUACGGACAAAGGAGAGAAGCAUGUCAUCUGCUGUACAAGCCAAGGCAAACCCAGCUUCGUUCCAUGCAUCAGAGGGUUGAAUCAGAAAGAAAAGGAUUAAAGUUGCUCAAGGAGAGAGAAAAAGAAAGAACAAACUGCCUGAAAUCCAGCACUAUUCAUGUAUGCAGCAUGGAUUGUUUUAAAAUGCUGUUUUUCUUCAAACAUCACUUUCAUAAGGCCAAUUCUAAAUGGAUUGAGAUGACACUAAGAGGUUUGGCAUCAGAGCAUAAAACUGGAAGAGAUUUCCUGGGCUGUUGUGUUCCAUGUCCUAGUCAGUUAUAUCAAAGAGUAACCCUUUCACAUCCAUCUUGAAACCAGUGCAACAGGAGAUGCCUAUGAGAGAACGCUCAAGUCACUGGAAUGGACAGCAGUCACCAUUUUCUUGGUUAGGAAAGGGAAGCUUUAAGGAAGUUUGGGAAAAGCAGAAGGAAAAAAAAAAAACAACAAAACAUGUAUACAAUACAGUAAUUUGCAAUGGAACAAAAA